AGUCACGACCAGGAUAUAGAGCAAGCAUACAUUGAUAUUCUGGAUUUGACGAACCAAACUCUUUGGUUCAUGUUAGAGAUGCAGCGUUACUGGAGCGAAAUCAAAUCAGGCUGCAAUGGACGCAAAUGGUCAUGGACGAGGCGAGCUUGUUCAAACAGUGGGCGUUGAUUCUGUAGCAGCAGGGCUCUGGCCCUGAUUAUAGAGACCGUGUGAGCCGCUGGCAG
Lolium rigidum is the source of this 224-nucleotide long non-coding RNA. RefSeq lists it as uncharacterized. Lineage: Eukaryota; Viridiplantae; Streptophyta; Magnoliopsida; Poales; Poaceae. The transcript has 3 exons. The record is from RefSeq and is a predicted model, not a curated record.